RNAcentral lists this ribosomal RNA (254 nucleotides) under uncultured bacterium. RNAcentral describes it as "partial 16S ribosomal RNA". It matches the Rfam family "Bacterial small subunit ribosomal RNA", at positions 524 to 776 of the family's 1533-position model. The record is from RNAcentral.
UACGGAGGGUGCAAGCGUUAUCCGGAUUCACUGGGUUUAAAGGGUGCGUAGGAGGGCAGGUAAGUCAGUGGUGAAAUCCCCCGAGCUUAACUUGGGAACUGCCGUUGAUACUAUCUGUCUUGAAUAUCGUGGAGGUGAGCGGAAUAUGUCAUGUAGCGGUGAAAUGCUUAGAUAUGACAUAGAACACCAAUUGCGAAGGCAGCUCGCUACACGAAUAUUGACUCUGAGGCACGAAAGCGUGGGGAUCAAACAGG